RNAcentral lists this ribosomal RNA (730 nucleotides) under uncultured bacterium. RNAcentral describes it as "bacterial SSU rRNA". It matches the Rfam family "Bacterial small subunit ribosomal RNA", at positions 771 to 1501 of the family's 1533-position model. The record is from RNAcentral.
AACAGGAUUAGAUACCCUGGUAGUCCACGCCGUAAACGAUGUCGACUUGGAGGUUGUGCCCUUGAGGCGUGGCUUCCGGAGCUAACGCGUUAAGUCGACCGCCUGGGGAGUACGGCCGCAAGGUUAAAACUCAAAUGAAUUGACGGGGGCCCGCACAAGCGGUGGAGCAUGUGGUUUAAUUCGAUGCAACGCGAAGAACCUUACCUGGUCUUGACAUCCACAGAACUUUCCAGAGAUGGAUUGGUGCCUUCGGGAACUGUGAGACAGGUGCUGCAUGGCUGUCGUCAGCUCGUGUUGUGAAAUGUUGGGUUAAGUCCCGCAACGAGCGCAACCCUUAUCCUUUGUUGCCAGCGGUCCGGCCGGGAACUCAAAGGAGACUGCCAGUGAUAAACUGGAGGAAGGUGGGGAUGACGUCAAGUCAUCAUGGCCCUUACGACCAGGGCUACACACGUGCUACAAUGGCGCAUACAAAGAGAAGCGACCUCGCGAGAGCAAGCGGACCUCAUAAAGUGCGUCGUAGUCCGGAUUGGAGUCUGCAACUCGACUCCAUGAAGUCGGAAUCGCUAGUAAUCGUGGAUCAGAAUGCCACGGUGAAUACGUUCCCGGGCCUUGUACACACCGCCCGUCACACCAUGGGAGUGGGUUGCAAAAGAAGUAGGUAGCCUAACCUUCGGGAGGGCGCUUACCACUUUGUGAUUCAUGACUGGGGUGAAGUCGUAACAAGGUAACC